AUCUAAAUAGCUUACUAGAGCAUAAUAUUGAAGAUAUUAAGGAAAUAUUUAUAUUUUUAGAUA
This 63-nucleotide transfer RNA is filed under the name Cerogria janthinipennis. RNAcentral's name for it is "tRNA-Phe". Lineage: Eukaryota; Metazoa; Arthropoda; Insecta; Coleoptera; Tenebrionidae. The record is from RNAcentral.